RNAcentral lists this transfer RNA (53 nucleotides) under Fruticicola koreana. RNAcentral describes it as "tRNA-Gly". Lineage: Eukaryota; Metazoa; Mollusca; Gastropoda; Stylommatophora; Camaenidae. The record is from RNAcentral.
AAUUAGUAUAAGUUAGUAUACUUUCUUUCCAAGUAAGGGGUCUCUAUAGAUUA